UUAGCAGGCAGGCGGGGCGCUGCAUUCGCAUUGCAGAGGUCACCGGUUCGAAUCCGGUACGGUCCA
This 66-nucleotide transfer RNA is filed under the name Candidatus Kerfeldbacteria bacterium. RNAcentral's name for it is "tRNA-Ala". It matches the Rfam family "tRNA". Rfam says of the family: Transfer RNA (tRNA) molecules are approximately 80 nucleotides in length. Their secondary structure includes four short double-helical elements and three loops (D, anti-codon, and T loops). The record is from RNAcentral. Lineage: Bacteria; Candidatus Kerfeldiibacteriota.